This 466-nucleotide ribosomal RNA is filed under the name uncultured bacterium. Its description in RNAcentral is "partial 16S ribosomal RNA". It matches the Rfam family "Bacterial small subunit ribosomal RNA", at positions 28 to 507 of the family's 1533-position model. The record is from RNAcentral.
GACGAACGCUGGCGGCGUGCUUAACACAUGCAAGUCGAACGGUAAGGCUCCAGCUUGCUGGGGUACACGAGUGGCGAACGGGUGAGUAACACGUGGGUGACCUGCCCUGCACUUCGGGAUAAGCCUAGGAAACUGGGUCUAAUACCGGAUAGGACCAUGGUGUGGAUACUGUGGUGGAAAGUUUUUUCGGUGUGGGAUGGGCUCGCGGCCUAUCAGCUUGUUGGUGGGGUAAUGGCCUACCAAGGCGGCGACGGGUAGCCGGCCUGAGAGGGUGGACGGCCACAUUGGGACUGAGACACGGCCCAGACUCCUACGGGAGGCAGCAGUGGGGAAUAUUGCACAAUGGGCGGAAGCCUGAUGCAGCGACGCCGCGUGGGGGAUGACGGCCUUCGGGUUGUAAACUCCUUUCACCAUCGACGAAGGGUUUCUGACGGUAGAUGGAGAAGAAGCACCGGCUAACUACGUG